RNAcentral lists this ribosomal RNA (197 nucleotides) under uncultured bacterium. RNAcentral's name for it is "partial 16S ribosomal RNA". It matches the Rfam family "Bacterial small subunit ribosomal RNA", at positions 336 to 525 of the family's 1533-position model. The record is from RNAcentral.
CUCCUACGGGAGGCAGCAGUGGGGAAUAUUGCACAAUGGGCGAAAGCCUGAUGCAGCCAUGCCGCGUGUGUGAAGAAGGCCUUCGGGUUGUAAAGCACUUUCAGUCAGGAGGAAAGGGUGUGAGUUAAUACCUCACAUCUGUGACGUUACUGACAGAAGAAGCACCGGCUAACUCCGUGCCAGCAGCCGCGGUAAUA